GCUGCAGAGACAGACAGAUGGACGAAUGCCCAGGAUCAGAGACUCGACAACACUUAGCCGCUGCCGAGCUCCCGGGCCAAACGCCACGCCUGGGCCGGCAAGGUCACUCGAGAGGUGAAGAGAGGGAGGGACAGGGAAUGUGCGGGCGGAAGACGCUCUGAGAUCGUCUAUCUCUUACAUUGUAGGCACGAGAGAGCUGAAGCUGCGAAGAGGAGCCCGACCCCAAGUGUCACGAUAACGACCAAGCCUCCAGCAAGACCAGGGCAAUCUUCCGCUCGCAGAGCUUGACAACUUGUCAAUACACAAGUUCAACAGGUUGGACAUUCCCUCCUGCUUCCUGCGCCGCUGAGGAAGGAGCUCUCCCCAAUGGGCGCUGUGCCUCCUGGAGCUGCCACCCGGCCCGGCCCAUUGCCAAGGCAAACCCUCUCAGCAACCUGUGCUGAGUCCCCAAUCCUCCCUCCCGACCAUGACCCCCGCGACCGGCCAGGCCUGGGGCGCCCUCGCCAGGCCACCACCGGGCAAGCCCUUGGCCUGCGCUCUCUGCCCGAGAAGCAUCGGAUGCCCUAGCUCUUGUUGCGCGCGUUUAAGAGCCUUCUGAGAGUCGGGUGUCCGAGGCACCCACAGGCGUCGCCCUACCUCUCCAGCCCCUUUUUGUAGAACCGAGAGAAAAAGCCCACAUCGCCACAAUGGCCGUCCUGGUUUUGGAAUCCUGAUGAAUUAACAAACAUGGGCUCGAAAUUCCGCGUGCUUCUGUCUCUCCCCUCCCUCCUUCAACACAGUCUCCUAGUCCCCACAGUCUCCAACCUCGGAGACUAUCCAGACUGCGAGAUCCUGUGGAAGGCUACCUGGCUUAGAGCUGGCCACAAAAGAGCUGUAAGGAGAGGUGAGAAGAGGUAUUAGGAUGUGAAGCAGGAAAUACCGCACGUGUGUGCCCAGCAGAGUGGGGUCCCCGGGAGCGCUGUCUUCAUGGGGGUGGUUGUGGAGCGCAAGUUUCCUAUGUGGGCAUGGGCCAUACCUGGGGAGUUCAAUGGGGUGGGGGUGGGGGCUCAUGCAGAGAGAAGGAAGGAUAAGACUGAAAGUCCGAGGCCAAUUCCCUGCAUCUGGAAAGAAGUGCUCCGGAGAUGAUUUACAUGCAUUGGAGUGCCAUGUAUUUUCUGUACAUAUAAUUUACUUACUAGUCAACCAACAUUAGAGAAAUAAAAAGCUGUACUGAUUACCA
Ailuropoda melanoleuca (giant panda) is the source of this 1219-nucleotide RNA transcript. It is a transcript of the gene named soluble scavenger receptor cysteine-rich domain-containing protein SSC5D-like, with no coding region annotated. The transcript has 2 exons. NCBI's taxonomy places the organism in Eukaryota, Metazoa, Chordata, Mammalia, Carnivora, Ursidae. The record is from RefSeq and is a predicted model, not a curated record.